CCCAAUUACAGUGUCCUGUUUUGCAUCCUUUGCCCUUUUUUUUCUGCUCUCACUUGUUUUCCCUCCUUCUUUCCUAAAGGCCUUAUUGAGCCCUGAUAGGCUUGCUGGGGAUAAAACCUGGAGCUUGGGAGAGGAGAGCGACAUUUUGGAGCAAGAUGGCAAGAGGGACGGCGGCCACAUACCUGCAUGGAGUCCUUCUCCUGGCUCUGCUGAAACCUUCACUGCAAGGAGGUGUAUACAUACCAGCUGGUGGUGCUGCAGGAGGAGCUGGAACUGGUAUCGGAGCUGGUGCAGGACCUGGAACUGGAUUUGGACCAGGUGGGACUGGAACAGGUUUUGGCCCUGGAGGAGCUGGGACUGGAUUUCAGCCUGGUGGAGGAGUUGGACCAGGAGGUGCUGGCGGAGGUUUAGGAGGAUUUGGACCAGGAGCUGGUGGAGGUGGCUACGGUGGUCAAGGACCAGGAGGUGUCGGACCAGGAGGUGUCAGACCAGGAGGAGUCGGACCUGGAGGAGUCGUACCAGGAGGUGUCGGACCAGGAGGUGUCGGACCAGGAGGUGUUGGACCAGGUGGUGUCGGACCUGGAGGAGUCGUACCUGGAGGUGUCGGACCAGGAGGAGUUGGACCUGGAGGGUUCAGGCCCAGCACCUUUGGUCCAGGCAGUGGUGGACUUGGAGUUGUACCUGGAGGAGUUGGGGCUGGUGUAAAGCCGCCAAAAACAGGGGGUGGCUACGGCACUCGUGGGGCAGGACUGGGAGCUGGAGGUGUAGGAGGAGGACUGGGACCGGGCGGAGUAGGGUCAGGUGGUUUUGGACCAGGUGGUGUUGGACCUGGAGGCUAUGGAACCAGACCUGGAGGAGUUGGUCCCAGUGGUUUUGGACCAGGACACACUGGUCCUGGUGGUCAAGGGACAGGAUAUGGAGGCCUUGGAGCAGGGGGAGUGGGUGGAGGGACCCUUGGAGCAGGAGGCACUGGGACUGGUGGAGGUCUGGGAGCUGGAACAGGCGUCACCCCUGGGGGUGGAUAUGGAGGUGGUUAUGGACCAGGUGGUGUGAUUCAAUACCCAGGAACUGGUCCCAAACCUCCCAAAACAGGCGGUGUUGAAACAUCACUUGGAGGAACAGGUUAUGGGCCAGGUGGAGCAGGGUUUGGGCCUGGUGGAGCAGGGUUUGGGCCUGGUGGAGCAGGAUUUGGUCCAGGUGGUGCAGGAGUUGGGCCUGGUGGAGCAGGAUUUGGGCCUGGUGGAGCAGGAUUUGGGCCUGGUGGUGCAGGAGUUGGGCCAGGUGGAGCAGGAUUUGGGCCUGGUGGUGCAGGAGUUGGGCCAGGUGGAGCAGGAUUUGGGCCUGGUGGUGCAGGAGUUGGGCCAGGUGGAGCAGGAUUUGGGCCUGGUGGUGCAGGAGUUGGGCCAGGUGGAGCAGGAUUUGGGCCUGGUGGUGCAGGAGUUGGGCCAGGUGGAGCAGGAUUUGGGCCAGGUGGAGCAGGAGUGGGGCCUGGAGGUGCAGGAUUUGGGCCUGGUGGUGCAGGAUUUGGGCCUGGUGGUGCAGGAGUUGGGCCUGGUGGUGCAGGAGUUGGGCCAGGUGGAGUGAGUCCAGGUGGAGCUGCUGUGCCUGGUGGAGCUCCGCUGCUCCCACAGACUGGUACUACAGGGGGAGGACCAGGAGGAAAGAGUGGUGGAAAAGCAUCAAAACAAGUUCCAGGUAUUGGAGUGCCUGGACUCUAUCAAGGUGGAUUUGUACCAGGACAAGGUUUUGGAGGCCGUGGUGUUCUCCCUGGAGUGGCCACAGGAUCUGGACUUGGUCCUCAGACUGGGACCGGCGUACUCGGUCAGGGGGGUGUUGGAACAGGAGGAGCAGGCAAUGGCCGUGGACAGCAGCUGCCUGGGGUUUUUCGUGGAUACCCUCUCAUAUCACCAAAAUCAGGUGCAGGAAAAUCAAAGAAUCCAGCCAAAAUUGCAGCUAAAUAUGGUGGAGCUGGCAGACUUGGUCAGGGAGGAACUUUGGGUGGUGGGGCUGGAAGAGAAGGUGUAGGGGGUACCCCUGGAUUUGGAGGCGGAGUUGGAACAGGCGGUGGACCAGGAGCUGUACCUGGAUUUGGAGGCGGAGUUGGAACAGGCGGCGGGCCGGGAUUAGUACCUGGAUUUGGAGGCGGAGUUGGAACAGGCGGCGGGCCGGGAUCAGUACCUGGAUUUGGAGGCGGAGCAGGAACAGGAGGCGGGCCUGGUUUAGGUUAUGGACCUGGCUCAGCCAAAGCACGCAAAUAUGGCAGUGGAGGCACUGGAGUAGCUGGAGGCCUUGGAGCUGGUGUUGGUCUUGGCACAGCAGGAGGACCUGGUGGUUUUGGUCCAGGUGGUGCUGGCACUGGCGCAGCUGGAGGCCUGGGAGGCGGAAGACAGGGAGGAGGAGUUGGCCCUGGCACGGGUGUGGGACCUGGCUCUGGGGUUGGUUUUGGUCCAGGUGGUGCGGGCACUGGGCCAGGCGGUCUUGGCUACGGUCCUGGUGGUGCUGGCACUGGGCCAGGCGGUCUUGGCUAUGGUCCUGGUGGUGCUGGCCUUGGAACAGGAGGCACAGGAACAGGGCCCGGAGGAUAUGAUGCCAGUGCCAAAGCCCGUAAAUAUGGCAUGUUAAGUGGAGCACUUGGAGGUCCAGGAAUAGGUACUGGAGGAGUCAGGCCUGGUGGUGCUGGAACUGGCUAUGGACCAGGUGGAGUUGGACCAAGUGGAGUUGGACCAGGCGGAGUAGGACCAGGUGGAGUAGGACCCGGUGGUGCUGGCACUGGCUAUGGACCAGGUGGAGUUGGACCCGGUGGUGCUGGAACUGGCUAUGGACCAGGUGGAGUUGGACCCGGUGGUGCUGGAACUGGCUAUGGACCAGGUGGAGUUGGACCUGGUGGUACUGGCACUGGCUAUGGACCUGGAGGUUAUGCUGGUGCCAAAGCCCGUAAAUAUGGUCUUCCUGGAGGUGCUGGAGGUGCCCUGGGUGCAGGAGGACUUGGGGGUGGGGUUGGGCCUGGUACUGGGCUCGGAGUAGGAGGAGGGUUUCCUGGACGAGGUGUUGGAGUAACAACUGGUGGUGGACCUGGAGCAGGAGUAGGGGUGGCUGGGACACCUGGUUCUGGUAUUGGAACAGGAGGUGGACCAGGUGGCUUUGGACCAGGCGGUGCUGGAGGGCUACCUGGUGGUGGCGGAGCCCCUGGAUCUGGUCUAGAUGGAAGAUUUGGUGGCCCAGCAGCAGGUGGUUAUGGUCCAGGGACUGGAGGAGCACUAGGGACUGGAAGAGGAUAUGGACCUGGUGGAUAUGGGCCUGUGGCUGGGACUGGUUAUGGACCAGGUGGAGGUUAUGGUUUAGGACCAGGUGCUGGAUAUGGAACAGGUUAUGGAGCUGGAUCAAAACUUGCUAAAUAUGGUCCCGGUGGAGCAGGUGCUGGUGGGGUACUUGGAGGUGGACUAGGACGAGGAGGUGGCUAUGGAACAGGAGGCUAUGGAACUGGCAGUGGAGGCUAUGGUACAGCUGGAUCUAAAGCUGCUAAAUACGGGCAACCUGGUGGAGUUGUUCCCGGGACAGGAGCAGGGACUGGUGUUGGAGUGAAUGGCACCAGCACUUUAACUGGUGCACGGGCAACAGCUAGACCAAGUGGAGGACCUGGAGCUACAGGAGGCACAGCAGCUCCAGCAUCAGAAGGUGAUGGUGGUGCUGGCAGUGUGAUAGAGGGGUCUGGGAGUCCUGGAGGAGAAGGAGUUACUGGUGUAGCUGGCAGACCAGUAGGUGCAGGAGGUGAUAGAGAUGUCCUGGGUGGAACAGGGAUCCCCAUCAUUGGAGCAAAACCAGGACUCAAUGGGACCACAGUCCCAGGUUCCACAGGAGCUUCCCCUGUUGGUGGUGGGGCUGUACAACCAAGUGCUGGGACCGGAGUUGGUGGUACAAGAGUUCCCCCUGGAGGCUCUGGUGGUGAUGUCUCAAAUGGAGCAUUGCCUGGCGCCAAACCUCUCAAACCCCCAGGUGUCCCUCGAGGUGACACACCAGGUGAAGGAGAUGGAGAAGAUGGCCCCGAUGGAGAGAGAGGUGGUACAGGAGGCACAGGUGGAGGGCCAGGAGGAGUAGGAGGGGGACCUACCAGAGCAGGACCAGCAGGAGGUGUUUCUGGUGGUGCAACAGCAGUAGGAAGAGGAGACGGUCCUGCUACUGGAACUGGACUUGGAUCAGGAGGUGCAGCUGGUGGAGUAGGAGGAACACCAAAACCACCCAAAGAUGGGACUGUCGCAGGAGGUGUAAGCGCAGGACCUGGUGGAGCUGGUGGACUUGCAGGAGGAGUUGGGUCAGCUGGACGAGGUCCUGGAGGAGCAGGCCUGGUACCUGGGGCUGGUGGAGUAGGAACAGGAUUCGCAAAACCUGGAAAAAGCUAUGGUGCUUUUGGAGCUGGAGUUUCACCAGGCGGAGGCAUACGUUACCCAACAGGAGCUGGAGUAGGACAAGGAACAGGAAAACCAGGCAAAGCAUAUGGAACUCUCGGAGUAGGAGGACAGGGUGGGUUUGGACCUGGCGGAUAUGGAGCUGGUCCUGGUGGCUUUGGUACUGGUCCGGGAGGUUACGGAGUGGGACCCGGAGGUUACGGGGCUGGCCCAGGUGGUUAUGGAGCUGGACCUGGAGGCUAUGGAGGCACAACUGGAAGCAGAGGCAUCGGUGGUGGUCCUGGGGGUGUUGGGACUCUUGGAGUUGGAACUGGUCCAGGAGGUGUAGGUCCUGGCGGAGUUGGUGGCGGACUGGGUGGAUACGGUGGUGGUGUGGGGCCUGAUGGUUCUAGAUAUGGUACAGGUCCAGGACGGGGCACUGGGACUGGUGCUGGCAAACCACCAAAAAGUUAUGGAGCAGGAGCUGGUGGUACUGGUGUUGGACCUGGUGGCUAUGGCACUGGACCAGGUGGAGCUGGUUCUGGUCCAGGAGGUUUUGGACCAGGUGGCUUUGUGCCAGGCGGCCCUGGUGCUGGUACUUAUGGACCAGGUGGCACUGGUUCAGGUGGAUAUGGGGCCGGCACUGGAACUAGACCUGGUGGCUUUGGACCAGGUGGUGCCGGAACAGGAACAGGAGGCUUCGGAACAGGUGGUGCCGGAAUAGGAACAGGAGGCUUCGGACCAGGUGGUGUCGGAACAGGAACAGGAGCCUUCGGACCAGGUGGUGCCGGAACAGGAGGCUUCGGACCAGGUGGGGCUGGAACAGGAGGCUUCGGACCAGGUGGGGCUGGAACAGGAGGCUUCGGACCAGGUGGGGCUGGAACAGGAGGCUUUGGACCAGGUGGUGCCGGGGCUCAAGGACUGGGGACAAGAAAACCACCCAAAUCAGGUUAUGGAUCAUCCUCACUGGGUGGAGCUGGCUUUGGACCAGGUGCAGGAGUUGGACCUGGUGGAACAGGUACCGGACCUGGCAGAUAUGGGCCGGGUGGCUUCGGACCAGGUGGUACUGGCGUUGGAACGGGAGGCUUUGGACCAGGUGGUACUGGCGUAGGAACAGGAGGCUUUGGACCAGGGGGUGCUGGCACAGGAACAGGUGGCUUUGGACCAGGUGGUGCUGGAGUAGGAGGGUUUGGACCUGGUGGUGCUGGAACAGGAACAGGAUUUGGACCAGGAAGUCAAGGAUCAGGAAAAAGAAAACCGUCUAAAUCCGGUUAUGGAACUGGUUAUGGUUCAGGAAGCUUAGGAGGAGUUGCAGGAACUGGCACUGGUGGAGCUGGAGCUAGAACUGGCGGCUUUGGUCCAGGAGGAGCUGGAACAGGUGGCUUCGGUCCAGGAGGAGCUGGAACGGGUGGCUUCGGUCCAGGAACUGGCGGUUUCGGUCCAGGAGGAGCUGGGACUGGCGGUUUCGGUCCAGGAGGAGCUGGGCGUGGUGGCUUCGGUCCAGGAGGAGCUGGAACGGGUGGCUUCGGUCCAGGAGGAGCUGGAACGGGUGGCUUCGGUCCAGAAACUGGCGGUUUCGGUCCAGGAGGAGCUGGGACUGGCGGUUUCGGUCCAGGAGGAGCUGGGACUGGUGGCUUCGGUCCAGGAGGAGCUGGGACUGGCGGUUUCGGUCCAGGAGGAGCUGGGACUGGCGGUUUCGGUCCAGGAGGUGCUGGAACUGGCAGUUUCGGUCCAGGAGGUGCUGGUGGAUAUGGACCUGGUGGCCAAACAAGAAAGCCUCCUAAAUCAGGUUAUGGCUCAUCGUUAGGUGGCACUGGCUAUGGACCAGGUGGUGUAGCAGGAGGCCUUCCUAGUACUGGAACAGUAGGAAUCAGUGGAGGCGGUCCAGGUGGUGUAGGAGGGCAGGCAGGAGGCCCUGGAGGACCAGGCCAGGGAGUAGGAGGAGGACCAGGUGGCUUACCAGGGGGUGCUGGCCCUGGUUUUGGAGGGGUGGCUGGUGGAGGCUAUCCAGGAUUUGCAGGGGCUGGGCAAAAAUCCAAGGCACAGAAGGCAGCCAAAUAUGCAGCCCUGCAGGCCCUACUUGGAUCUGGGGGCUACAGAGGUGCUGGCUGUCAGGGUAAAUUCUGUGGCCGAAGGAGGAAGUGAGCCACCAACAGACAUGAAGUGACCUCAUCAAUACAACAGUGGUGCUAUUGCAUGAUCCCAAACUGUAAAUGUCUUAUCUGCCAUGGAAGCUAAAGCUUCAACACAUUCCAAGUGUUACAUUUUUAUUUGCUUAGAUGUUGUACAAGGCUUACUGAGUAAGAAAAAUGGUUCUCAACCUGUUAGAAUCCUGAUUCCUGAAAGCAAGAUGCUGCAGACUGCUAUGCAGAUUGGAGGAUUUGUCACUGUCACAUUGAUUUUUUGGGGGGAUAAUUUGCAAAUUUGGCUUUGGUCAGAUAUAAAGUAUUCACAGUUUCUCAAGAAAAAACACAAAUUAGAGUCUGAAUUUCAAGAAUUAAGUUUCAAGAGUGACAAUAGGCUUGUUUAAGAUGGGACAAACUUGCGCUGAAUUGAUCAACACAGAUUGCUGCAUAAUGGAUGCUAGUUAUAUUUCCAUAUUGAUUCCAACUUGUUUUGAUGUCAGAAUGACACAGGCAAUAACAGCAUCAUGAGAUCAUGACAGAAAACAUCUGGCUUUCACCUGCUCCAUUAGCUGAUUGGUUCUAAUGUCGAGUCUACAAUAUGAAAUUUGAUAAUGAUAAGUUACAAGAGCGUUCAUGUAAAAAUGGAGGCUGAACCAAGAACAGAGGUUACAGAUGCCCUGUCAUAAUUAAAACUAUUUAAUGAAUCAACUAGUUUCUGUAACUUCCUGCUUUGACUGAAAGCUGCUGGAAACUGUCUUGACUGCUGACUUUUAACACUACCCCGUGCUGUUGCUAUCUGUUCCUGACUUCUGUUAGAACCGCAGUUGAUCUCAAAUGAGUCUAUUAUUCCAUCAGCAACACAACAACCAGCAAACUGGACACAAUGGAAUUCUUCAAGCUCUAGUUCUAAUUUGUUAACAUUUCUUAUAGUCCUAAUAUUCCCCAAUGAAUCACUUUGUAAGUCUCUGGGGAUCUUGACUACCAGGCUGAGAACCACUAAAAUGAAGGAUCUGUAUUUCUUUUUAUCAGUGAGGCCAACCUGCUCUAUACUACAGUUAUUGUUUUCUAUUGCUGCGUUGAAUAUCAUUUGUGUUCCAAUGCAAGUAUCACCAUGAAACCUCUGGGUUGAGACUGAUACCAAGGACUCCCUCAGGGCAGCUCCUUCAGACCUGUCUGCAUGCUGACACAAGGUUUAUGAAAAACGUCUCCAAGGCAACAUUUUUGUCCAGUUAGACUGGGUCGUUCUUUUGUCUACAGAUUUUAAAAUGUGCUAAUUCACUGUUUUUAGCUUGUACAUCAGUAGACGCUCUUGUGUAAUCUAUCAGCAAUGUGUAAUGACCAAGAAACAGAUGGCUGCUGUUCUGUGGAAUGAUGAACAAAAGAGACACUCAGUGGAGUCUUCUGUGGUUUGGUGUUUUGACUGGUCAUUAUCUCAUCCUUAAAAAGCAGCCUCUGUUCAUGUCAACUGUACUCAGGCCUCAGUAGUAUCAACCGUGGAGGCCUAAAAGUAUUUUGCUAACACUGGUGAGAUUCUUCCACUCUGUUCACAACAUUAAAGACACUGUUUUAUAGCUACGUAACACUAAGUGGUAAUAGUGUAAAGUUUUGGUUAACCUCCAUUUUGCUUUCAUUGUUAGAAGGAGAUAUUUGUUAUGAUAUAAUGAUGUGGCUUAGUUUUAGCUUUUACAUUUGCUGUUGAGGAAAGCAUUCAAGCUAAAUGUGAGGUAAUAUGACAAGAAUACAUGAGGAGUACUGAUUACUGUUUUUUUUUUUCUUUUGAUGUACCUCCUUUAACACUGUUGAAAAUUUGUUCACGUUUACCAGACUUUUUAAAUUAUGCUGGAUAAUAGGGAUCUAUUUAGUCUUAUUUUACAAAUUCAAGAGCAUUAAUACAGUAUUAAAUAUUUCAGCUAGUUAUUUUGUGUGUGAGUGUUUCAACAGUUAUUAAACGUGUGUACUACUAUGAUGAUAGAAGUGCUUUGUUUUCUACAUUGUCCUUGAAUGUGUGUUGAAUCACAAUGUAGUCUGUGAGGUCAUUAGGAUAAAAAAGUAUAACUGAAUCUUAUCUUGCAUUUGAGCUUAUGUUUGUGUUUAUCAUGCGGCUCAACAUGUGUUUUUAAUGUAUUUUUUAUGUGGCCUAUGAAGAAAAUAAUGCAC
Amphiprion ocellaris (clown anemonefish) is the source of this 8665-nucleotide long non-coding RNA. The record is from Ensembl. Lineage: Eukaryota; Metazoa; Chordata; Actinopteri; Pomacentridae.